AUUUUCGGAACCUUCAGCCGCAACACACACCCAUAUAAACAGACACACACACAAAGAACGCCGGAAAUCAGCCACGCACCAUAUUUUCAAGCUUCGUCUAUCCUUUCACUCAUCCAAGCUUCUACUGGCUUCUCCUAUUCUCUCGAUACCUACUGCUGCUACUGCUUUAGCACACGUUGGUGGUGCAUCAGCUGCUGCAGCGUUGAACCAACGGAGUUGAGAUCGUAGUCUGAGGUUCCCGGAGAGAUUCGCCGUUCCGUCAAGGUCGUCGCCGGUUAGAAAUUUCUGUCGUGGUUUCUGGGUGGUAUAGACAUUCGCCGUUCCGUCAAGGUCGUCGCCGGUUAGAAAUUUCUGUCGUGGUUUCUGGGUGACGGGUCUGUUCAUUAUCGACUACAGUGUGGGGUUCUUGUAAACCAGUUGGAAGAUCUUUAAUAUAUUGAAUGGUUUCAAAGGUCUGUUGUUUUCUUCUUUACCAUUUUGCUCGGAAGAUCAUGCUUGGUUAAAUUUCUAUAAUCUGUUAUGGUUGUGUCGUUUGAAUUUUUCGUGCUAGUAAAUUUCGUUGUAUUGUGUGGCGGAAUAUUUUUGUGUUCUGCUAACUUUGUUGUUAAGGAUGUAAGACUUAAUUUUAAUUUUUUAACCCCAAACUAUAAAAUAUGAAAAAUGCUAAAUGUUUUGCAGUAGAAAUCAUUUUCGAUUGGUUUGUCUCAUGUUUGUUACUGCAUCUUCUUGUUAAUCAUGAAAAUUGUAAAGAUUAAUUGAGUAAUUAGGGGAUUAGCAAUAACGGCCAUGUGUUUGCUUGUAAGAAAUUAAUGUUGUAGGGGUAUAAGCAGAUUGUAAUGUUAUGGGAUUGUGGGGGUUGGAUAGAGCUAACUGGAAUCACCCCUAAGUUUUUCAGUGAAUUUCCUUAAUUAGAACCUCCGCAAUUAAUCCUGUUUCUUAGGAAAAUAAUUAACCCUUUGGAUAUUCAUAGAAAUGCUUUAGGCGCGCAUUUAAUCUACUAUCAUAAUUGUGUACACAUUCGCGUGAUAUGAUUAUGAUUUCCAAAAUUGAAACCAAAGUAUGCGUUCAAGCAACUUUGGGUAAAACAAUAUUAAUAAUAAAGUGUUAUUAAUUGUGUACACAUACGCGUGACAUAACUUUGGUACAUCAAACAAAAAGAGUACACGUACGCGUGACUCGUAUCAAGAUAAUUCCAAAAUCACGAAUAAUCGAGUAAUUAGAAGCGGUAAAAGGUAAAGUACAUAUAGGUUCUAAAAUACGUAAUUAAACAAUUUAAUUAGGCCAGGUAUGAUUGAAAGCGACUGUGCUAAAACCACGGAACUCGGGAGUGCCUAACAACAUCUAUCGGAUUAACAGAAUUUCUUACCCAGUCCUCUGGUUUCGCAAACUUUUAAACAGAGUCAAAUUUCCUCGAUUUAUGAUUUAAAAUAACCCGGUGACUUGGGACACCAUAAAUUAUUCCAAGCGGCGACUCUGAAAUUAAAGAAAUAAUCCUAUUUCGAUUAAUGUCACUACUCUUCUAUCCCCUCGGGAAAAGGAGGUGUGACAAUAUUUAUACGGUGCUUUAAAUAAACUUAUUGAGUAUGUUUUAUAAUGAUAUUAUACCACAAAAUUAUAUUUAUACCAAGGGGAUUUCUGGUAUUUUCUUAAUAUUUUAUUUUUAUGUUGGAUUGUUUUAUGUUUUCAGAAAAAUAUAUAUUUAAUAUAUUUAUAGGAUCUUAUAUUGUAAAAGUUUUAUAUAAUUUGAAUGUUCCAUCAAUAUUAACUGAAAUUAUACUAUGGAUGUAAUGUAAAUAUUUCUUCAAAUAUUUACCUAUUACUCUUCAGAUUCCAGCAAUGUAUAUUAGUAUAAAAGAAUAUAAUGUAAAUUAUACAAUGAAUAAUAUGUAAAUAUCCUAUUAAUUUAUUUCACCUUAAAAGAAAAUUAAAAAAAGACAAAAAGUUAGAAAAUAGGAGACUAGUUGUGUUGGUGACAUAUAGAAUCUUGAAUGAAUGUGUAUAAUUUAUGUUAGAGUGACAAGGGGAAGGAAAAUAAGAGAGUUAAAUAGAAGAAAUGAAAGAUUAAUGUUAAAAGAGAAUCCCUACAAAUAAGCAAAAAUAAGUGGUGAUUCGGAGGAUUUACAAUUUUACGAAUUAUUAAUAACUUUGUUUCCUACAAAUAAGCAAAAAUCUUUAUGUUUCUCUUAAGGAAUGAAAAUAAUUAGGUGCUGUUUUUGUUAAUUACCUAUGUUUAGCUCAAAGUUUUCAUUUACUUUAUAAGCAUAAAAUAAUCGAAAUAAAUGGAGGUCCAAUCAUAGCAGGUCGUAAUAAAUUCAAAGACCAAAGGAAUAAGAUAUAAGAGACAAUAGGUAUUAGAUAUAGGGAAGAGGGUAAAGAUCUUUUAUUAAUGAUAUUGGUUUGGUCUGCCUCUCAAUGGAGAGGUUCAGAGCCUUACAAUGAUGUAUUAUCCUUCUUUUAGAAGUAGAUAUGAAGAAGAAGAAGCACCCCCCUUUUUAGGGUUCUUUCUCUUAGUAUUUAUAACUAGGAGAUCUCCCAGUUGGCGCCACUCUCUUCCUUUUCGAAGUAGAUGUGGAGAAGAAGAAGCAGUCCCCCUUUUAGGGUUCUUUCUCUUAGUAUUUGUAGCCAGGAGAUCUGCCAGCUGGCGCUAAGGAGUCAGGACCACAUAGAGGGGACGUCCUCGUGAGGACGGCCAUGCCGUAGCCUCAGUUGUCAAAUUGGAUAACUACCUGAUAAUCGUGUGAAUAAAUGGCCACACCAUUUAUUGGUCAUAAAUAAGCUUUAAUAAAUGCGUUGAUCUCAUUUAGUAUCAUGAGGUCAAGUUUUUACCUAUGCACCACUAAGAGUUAAUACUAUCUUGUUAUACUUUCUUUUAAUUUUUGGAGAAUAUUGAGAGGAUAGAAUUAUAUUGAGAGAAUAAUUAAAUUGUUGUUAAGCUUCUUAUCCUACUUAGUCCUACAUUUAUUUAUACGGAUUCCGCUAAUGACAAUAGCCCCUACAUGCGUUGGGAGUCGAUCGUAGUCUUUUUAUUCUUCGGACACGGCCGUAGCUGUUUUUACUUUCAGAGAUGGCUGUAGCCAUUUUCAAUCAUUCGGAGAAGGCCGUAGCCAUUAUUAAUUUAGAGGUGGUCGUAGCCUUUUUCUUUGGAGAUGACCGUAGCCAUUUUCCUUUUAGAGGUGGUCGUAGCCUUUUUUUUUUUUAGAUGACCGUAGCCAUUUUCCUUUUAGAGGUGGCCGUAGCCUUUUAUCUUUUAGAGAUGGCCGUAGCCAUUUUCCUUUUAGAGGUGGCCGUAACCAUUUUCCUUUUAGAGGUGGUUGUAGCCUUUUUCUUUGGAGAUGUCCGUAGCCAUUUUCCUUUAAGAGGUGGCCAUAGCCUUUUCUCUGGAGAUGACCGUAGCCGUUUUUAUUUUUGAGGCGGCCGUAGCCACUUUUGUUUUGGAGGUGGCCGUAGCCAUUUUCACACGUGCUUGGAGAGAGUACGAUUACGCUUGUUGAGUGUAAGGGGGACAUCAUGUGUAUGGUGACGCAUGGGGCGUGCCCGUGGUGUAUUGAGGUCGUCAUAACUGUUCCAUGGGGGACGUGCCGAUUGACGGUCGAAUGACCGUUCGAUGAUGUUUGUCAUAAUGUUGCUCGUUACUGCAGGUUUGAACCGUUUUGCGGUUGGUCGGAUAGUUAAUGGUGACCAUNNNNNNNNNNNNNNNNCCGUUUGAUGAUGUUUGUCAUAAUGUUGCUCGUUACUGCAGGUUUGAACCGUUUUGCGGUUGAUCGGGUAGUUAAUGAUGACCUUUGAGAUUCGUGAGGGCCAUUCAUGUUUUAAUAAAUAAGGGGUUGUGUUGCUCAGCUCUCACUUUUCCGAUUUCUGCCUAAGUGGAAUUCUGAGUGAGAUAAGCUUUCUUGCUUUCAGAUUAUCUAGUUUUUCAGUCCUUGUUUAUUCAUCCUCCGUCACUUUAGUCGGAUCUUCGUAUUCUCCUGUUUUUCCGGUGAAUCUUACCAUCUUAUUUUCGUUAUAUUGAUAAUGACGAGCAGUUCCCGUUCCGAUGCAUUUCCGGUGGCGGUUGCGGUGGCAGAAGGUCCAUCUACGGUGGCGGGAGCCACUGAUUUGCUGACCGUUGAUCGGUUCCCGUCGGUGACCGACAUUCUUUCCCUUUCCAGAGGUCCAGUGGCCGAUUUUACCGACCCUGAGGGAGAAGAUCAAGUGGACGAGGCUCCAUUGAU
This 4211-nucleotide long non-coding RNA is filed under the name Nicotiana benthamiana. Its description in RNAcentral is "long non-coding RNA (NBEN_LNC040508)". Lineage: Eukaryota; Viridiplantae; Streptophyta; Magnoliopsida; Solanales; Solanaceae. The record is from RNAcentral.